RNAcentral lists this long non-coding RNA (292 nucleotides) under Elaeis guineensis (African oil palm). Its description in RNAcentral is "long non-coding RNA (EGUI_LNC041695)". Lineage: Eukaryota; Viridiplantae; Streptophyta; Magnoliopsida; Arecales; Arecaceae. The record is from RNAcentral.
UGCAGAAAAUCUAAGUUGCCUCGUUAGUUCACCUUGAUGGAAUGUUCGCUUCAAAUUGUGCAAUAGGAGAUACUUGCUCAAACAUUCAAUACUUACGAGACUAUCACCAAACUUCAUGUUGGAUGGAGUAUGAUUAACUUGAAGCUUUUGAUCCAAAUUAAACACCACUUCAUCAUUCUAAAUUCCAAUUGAAGAUUGCCAAAAUUAUUCCCCAAAAUCUACAAUUACAGCAAAUACAAAAAUCAGAUUUUAAAAAACCUCACCUCAAUUCAAUUCCAAAAUUAAUCAGCCU